UUUAUAUGACGCUGUUGACUUUUAUGUUUACGUUUGACCGUUCGUCUUAUUCAAAGAUAUAUAUAAUUAUUGACUUUUUGUUAUAAUUUGAUCUAUUAUUUUGAGAACUUUAAGUAUGACUUAUAGUUAUACAUAUUUGGAUAAAAUUUUUGAAUAAGACGAAUGGUCAAACGUACACAUAAAAGUUAACAAUGUCAUAUAAA
RNAcentral lists this microRNA precursor (203 nucleotides) under Oryza brachyantha (malo sina). RNAcentral's name for it is "MIR812 microRNA precursor family". It matches the Rfam family "MIR812 microRNA precursor family". The record is from Rfam by way of RNAcentral. Lineage: Eukaryota; Viridiplantae; Streptophyta; Magnoliopsida; Poales; Poaceae.